RNAcentral lists this ribosomal RNA (490 nucleotides) under uncultured bacterium. RNAcentral describes it as "partial 16S ribosomal RNA". It matches the Rfam family "Bacterial small subunit ribosomal RNA", at positions 29 to 523 of the family's 1533-position model. The record is from RNAcentral.
AAUGAACGUUGGCGGCAUGGAUUAGGCAUGCAAGUCGAGCGAGAAGAGUUUUGAAGCUUGCUUUAGAACUCGGACAGCGGCGAAAGGGAGAGUAACGCGUAGUUAUGUGCCCUAGGGUCCGGAAUAGCCACGGGAAACUGUGGGUAAUGCCGGAUAACAUCCCCGGAUCAAAGGUGUGAUUCCGCCCUAGGAGCAGACUGCGUCCUACUAGCUAGUUGGUGGGGUAAUGGCCCACCAAGGCAAUGAUGGGUAGCGGGUGUGAGAGCAUGACCCGUCUCACUGGGACUGAGACACUGCCCAGACACCUACGGGUGGCUGCAGUCGAGAAUCUUCGGCAAUGGGCGAAAGCCUGACCGAGCGAUGCCGCGUGCGGGAUGAAGGCCCUCGGGUUGUAAACCGCUGUCGUAGGGGAGGAAGGUUCCGUGAAGAGCGGAAUUUGACCUAUCCUAGGAGGAAGUACGGGCUAAGUUCGUGCCAGCCGCCGCAGUAA